UCGAGCCUCAGUGUCACGCUGCUCGCAACUCGCAACUCGCAACUCGCACAUCGCUAUCGCCGUCGCUGUCAUAGCAGCUCGCACGUCGCCGUCGCAGCAGCUCCGCACGUCGCAGGCCGCCGCACGUAGCAUCCCGCCUCACAUCGCAGUAGCGCUGCACUUCCAUUCUGCAAUCUCAAAGUGCAUGGUUACAGUCCAAUUAAAGUAUCCAAUCGCUGAUGCUGUCGAGCCAACUGCUGCCAACACUUCCAUCUCCAG
This 258-nucleotide unclassified non-coding RNA is filed under the name Hevea brasiliensis (rubber tree). Lineage: Eukaryota; Viridiplantae; Streptophyta; Magnoliopsida; Malpighiales; Euphorbiaceae. The record is from RNAcentral.